Molecule: long non-coding RNA, 259 nt
Filed under: Drosophila guanche
Lineage: Eukaryota; Metazoa; Arthropoda; Insecta; Diptera; Drosophilidae
Source: RNAcentral
AUAUGAAAUCUAGGAGGGACUCACCUCUGUAAUUGAUGUCGAGUCUUUCCCACACACUGUGGUGGGCACCAGCGUCCAUAUCAAUGAGAAGUUGCUGAUCGUUGGAGCCAGCUUUUGCCACCUAAGUUGUAAGUUCCUAAGAUCUUCAGGUGGUGCGGGCCUGUCGUGUGCCAUGUAGCAGUAAGCUACCAUGAGGCGCUUUUCCUCGCUCUUUAGCAUCACCACUGUACGGUCAUCCCUGCUGUAAUAAGACAUAAGA